Non-coding RNA from Cajanus cajan (pigeon pea), 1905 nucleotides. The record is from RefSeq and is a predicted model, not a curated record. Lineage: Eukaryota; Viridiplantae; Streptophyta; Magnoliopsida; Fabales; Fabaceae.
GAACUGUGUUGUUGCAUAUGUCCAGAAAGGGUUUAAUGUUGGGAAUUUGAUUAGACUAAUAGGAAAGUGUUGAAGACAGCUUCAGUUAUAAUAGAAAAUAAAUGGUCUAGACCAAAAUGUAAAGAGAAGAACAAGUACUGAAAUUUCAGUCAGAUAGGUUAUAGAAUCCUGAUUAGAGUUUCAUGAAGGAAUGCCCGGUGCUUCCUCUCUAACUGGCGAAUGGGAUGUAAUUACAAUAGCAAGUAUGGUUCUUUAAGUUGCAAGUGUCAAUUUAAAACUGGUUAAGGCAACGAUUUUGUUUUUAACUUUUUUUCUUUUUUAUUUUAUAUGAGGAUUAUAGAUUAUGUUUUUUUUGCAAAAAUGGAACUCUUGAAACUAAAAUGAUUUUGGAAUAUCAAGAAAAGGGGGUGCAAUACCUGUGCCAUUUGACACUGAUGCCUUAAUUACUGUUGGAAUUGUUUGUUCUGUAGGGGUAUGCCACUCGACCAUGCUCAAUACGUCUGAUAUCUUCUUUGAGGAUCUCAUAGUGCCUUUUAACAUCCUCUACUGAUUUUCCCACCUCGUUGGCAAUAUUCUGCCACCUAUCUGGGGUUUCUCUAUCAAAUUUAGCCAGGGCACUUUCAAAUAGUUUGUUUUGCCUUGGGGUCCAAGAUGAUGCCAUCUGAAUGUUUGAAGAUGAAGUUUCAACUUAAGGGCAGUCUUAAGCAAUGGUAAUAUUAACUGGCUAUAAUAAAGACUUUAGGAAAAUGGAAUUGGCUUAGUGAGUUUCACAAACUUGAAAGAGAAAAGAAAUGAUUGCUUCAGUCAAGCAAUGGUAUGGGAAAACAAUAACCCAGCUAGUCCCUUAUAAGUAGAAGGAAAAGUGUAGGAGGGGUUACUGGUUAGGCCUGUUGGAUGAGUAUAUCUUUGAAAAGGAUGGAAGAUCAAGUGACUUGUUCUUUGUUCCCUUGGAACCACUUUAUGAAUCGGUAUAGUGGACAACAAGUGGAAUAGGGGAAUCAAGAUCAAAGGACAUGUCUUUUACUCUUUUAUUCUUUCAACCAGACAUACUCCUUUAUUUUCUCUUGGCUAGUUGGAUUUCUUUAUAGAUUCUAGUCAGUGGAUUACAAUGUCAAAGUUCAACAUGCAAUGACCAGACAUGCUGAUAAUGUGGUUAUCUUUUGUUUUCUAAGAAUGGCAUUGUGGACGAAGAUAUCAUUGUUUGAAGGGUUUCAGUGAUUAUGAAGCAUUUUUCCUGUUAGAGCUAACUCUUCUGAAGUCAUAAGUUAUUAGAUGAAUGAUCAUAUAUGGAUUUAUUUCAUCUCUAACAUGAUAAGGUUUGGACAAACACAUGUCAAAUUAUACAAUCUUCUGAAAGGCGAUGAUGAUAAAUGAAUAGCGGAACACCCGAGCAAUUAGCUGUUUUGCACCAAGGAUCAUUGCAUUAUUAAAUUUAUCGUAUUGCGGCAUAUAUGUAUGGGGAUAUUCCUUGGAUGAUACACGACUAUAUAUUUUUGGAUAUCAAAAAAGCACCUGGCCGGCUCAUACAACUUGGUUGCGUUAUUUUGCACAAGGAAUCAUGUUCUGCCCCCUGGAAUUUAAAGACUACUGGAUAGAAAUUGCCUGCGAAACUGAUCAAGGUAGAAGGUGUGGAUUCAAGCUCUUCUUUAGGUUGGAGGCACCUCAAACGGUGAGAUAGUUGGUCCCAAGAUUUAACACGGCUGCAUACACAAGGCAGGAUUCGAAUCCCUGACUUUACUUAAGCAUGGAUCAACCCCUUCCGCUAAACCACGCGCUUGGGGUUACUACUGUUUUACUUGUUUUGUACUUAUAUAAUACUAAUAUUUUAGUAUAUAUAUUGUAGAUUAUAAAUGUUUAUUUUUAUAUGAUUAAAAUUAUAAUAAAUAAAUAAAUUUUAAUAUGUUA